AGAAAGAAAGGUUAACGGCGGGAAGAGAGGAAGGUAGAAAGAGAAGGGUGCGUGAGGGAAACAAUAGUCGGAUCAACACUGCAGUUGUGAGCAAGAGGGAGAUAAGAGAGUGCAGUAAAGAAGGAAAUGGAGAGAAGGUCGAUCAUGAGACAGUAGAGAAAAGGAAAUUCAAAAUUUAAGGGCUACAGAGAGGAGAAUUGCAUACGGUUCCACAGUGGCAUAGCUAACGGGGAAAUCAUGCCUGAAAUAGGGAAGAAAAAUGCGGACUAACUUAACAACGUCACUGUGAACAAAGGUAAGUAAGUUUUAAACUUCAAACUCUGUUGUGGCAAUAAAUGUUGAAUUUCUACGUUUCAAUUUUAAAAUGUUUUUUAAGUGUUGAAGAAAGGAGUGGAGAUAGGAAUUGAGGAAACAAUAUGACUGGUGUAACACCCAAGAAUUUAUUAUUAUUAUUAUUACUAUUAUUAUUAUUUUAUUGUAUUAUUUUUAAUUAAUUCUAACUAAAUAUAAUUAAGUAUUAAUAGAAUUUAAUUUAUUUUAACUAGAAAUAAUAAUAAUAAAAAUAAUAAAAAGGGAAAAAAUUUAUUAGAGAUUUAACUGAAAAUAAUUUUGGAAAAAAAUGGUGAAAAUUUGGGUUCUGAUGGUAUUUUUGAAAGAAAAUUUGAAAAUUGGGGGGUCAAAACGUAAUUUAAAAAAAUUACACCACGUCAGCUGCCCAGUCAGCAGCCCUGGCCAACCAGAACGCUCUGCUUGGCAGAGGCGUUGAUGCGGGAGGCCAUGUGGAAGGGAGCCACAUGGGCGAUCCGCAUGCACGCGAUCGGACGGCUAAGAUCCGUUCCCGUGCGCACGGACGGCCCAGAUUAAAUCGCGCACAGAUGGCCCAAAUUGCAUCGUGAUGAACGACCCAGAUUCAUUUCUUUUUUAAUCGCGAUCGGACGGUCCAGAUUAAAUCGCGAUGGAUGGCUCAGAUUAAAAGUGGAAGGUUAUAAAUAAUCUCAUCCACACUUAAACCCUAACUAUAGUUGCCAGAGCCCUCGCCGGAGAAGACAGCCCAGCCGCUGGGGAGCCGACCGCGGCCACCCGUCGCCGUACCGGAGCACUUUUCGGCCGCCAAACGAGGUAAAAAUUCUCCCCUUGGCUCAUAAUUUGAUUCUAAACCCACCUAUGGCAAAAUUGGAGCCAAAACAUCGGCCAAUUGGUCAAAAAAUACAGCUGAAGCCCAGCAAAGCCGCCACAGGUUUUCUCAGUUUUUACCUCUGAUGAGGUCCUUCCCGAUUUCCGUUUGAUGUAAUUUUUACACCAUUGUGACCACCGUUCCUUCCUCUACAGGUUGACCGAAGCAAAACACCAAAUCGCGACUUGAGCCGGAGGAGCCGCCACACCAGAGAGCCCCGUCGCUGGUAAACUUCAGUUUUUGGUAUUUUCUCGGCCCACCGAGGGCCCCAGGGGUGUUUUCUCACAGGAACCAAUGCAAGUUUGGCCGAAUUCGGCCGAAAACAACCAAAAAUAGCCAACCUGAGGCGGAUCGCCGCCGCUCGUCGGAGCUCGGCAGAACCGCCGUGCCGAAAUUCUGAAAUUGGCCGAAUAGGCUUUAGGUCUGAUUUUUGAGUUAUUUGGGAUAUGUGUAGGUACCGUAAGCACGUUUCAGUUCCCGAGAGAAAAUUCAAGGAACCCAGGGACUGCCCAUAGGUGCAGUAAAAAAAUUCAGUUUUCGACUUCGAAUAAGGUAAGGACCCCUCACCAUAUUUCCUAUCACGGGAUUAAAGUCUAAUAAAUGAUAAAACUGUAUUUGUAUGAAUUAAAUAUAUAUACAUAAUUAUUAUGGUUGCUAAUAGAGCCCGAACCGGACAUAUUUCUCUCUCAGUUCCUGUUUGAUUUAUUUUACAGUCUAAAUGCAGUAUGGUAUCUGAUUUAUUUAUUCUAUAGUUUUGAAUGCAUGAAUCACUGUUUACUUUAUUAUGGCUUGAUUUUGUGAAUUCGAUGAUAUGCUUGCCUUAUUGGAUGCUCGUUACUUGUUUAAAUAUUCAUGUUUAUGUGGGAAACGGAAAACUAAAGAAAAAAAUAGAAAAGGUAUGUGAAUUGAUAAAUGGAUAAGUUGACAGCCUCACUAGAUAUCCUGGGAGAUGGGGGACGGACCGGAUCCAUGGGAAACCCUACCGGAAAUGUUGUCUUAUACUGGACAGGGUAUGGAGACUUUCAAUAUUUUGGCGCUCAUACUGAAUGGGAUAUGGAGACGGCCCGCUUCAACCUCAUACCAGACGGGGUAUUGAGGUUUUAUUAUUUGGCGCCCAUACCGGACGGGGUACGAGGACGGCCCUAGGAAUUAAGUUUGUUAAUAGAACGGUUCACGUGUAGUAGGGACCCCUAUGGAUCCCCACGGAUACUGGUAGGCUGAUAAAAAGGGAGUAACUGUUGUUUGAUGAUUGAAAUAUAAAAGUAUGACAUGUACUAUAAUACAUAUUAUGUAUGAAUUCAUGAUAUUUAUGAUGUUAUUAUUUCCAUGAGUCGUUUUUAUAAAUCCCACUGAGGUAAGUGGACGGUAAAUGAUUUGAUUAUUGAUAAUUAAAUUUAUUUGAAACUUGUGCUCUAUUGGUUGUCUUUGGUUUUCUAUCAACCUUUACUUCUGUGACAGUGAUAUAGUGUGAUGUCUUUACUGGACUAAUGUACCUCAUUCCUUACUUAACCAUUUCAGAUCAGGAGGACUUGGUUCCCGAGCCCGAUCUACAAGAAGACGGCGAGUAGAUACCUAG
RNAcentral lists this long non-coding RNA (2750 nucleotides) under Carica papaya (papaya). RNAcentral describes it as "long non-coding RNA (CPAP_LNC007989)". Lineage: Eukaryota; Viridiplantae; Streptophyta; Magnoliopsida; Brassicales; Caricaceae. The record is from RNAcentral.